This 402-nucleotide ribosomal RNA is filed under the name uncultured Rhodospirillales bacterium. RNAcentral's name for it is "partial 16S ribosomal RNA". It matches the Rfam family "Bacterial small subunit ribosomal RNA", at positions 355 to 774 of the family's 1533-position model. The record is from RNAcentral. Lineage: Bacteria; Pseudomonadati; Pseudomonadota; Alphaproteobacteria; Rhodospirillales.
UGGGGAAUAUUGGACAAUGGGCGCAAGCCUGAUCCAGCAAUGCCGCGUGAGUGAUGAAGGCCUUAGGGUUGUAAAGCUCUUUCGCCCGCGACGAUGAUGACGGUAGCGGGAGAAGAAGCCCCGGCUAACUUCGUGCCAGCAGCCGCGGUAAUACGAAGGGGGCGAGCGUUGUUCGGAUUUACUGGGCGUAAAGGGCGCGUAGGCGGCCCUCCUCGUCGCGUGUGAAAGCCCCGGGCUCAACCUGGGAACGGCGCGCGAAACGGGGGGGCUGGAGUUCGGGAGAGGAGCGUGGAAUUCCCAGUGUAGAGGUGAAAUUCGUAGAUAUUGGGAAGAACACCGGUGGCGAAGGCGGCGCUCUGGACCGAGACUGACGCUGAGGCGCGAAAGCGUGGGGAGCAAACA